UAAGUUAUUAAGGGCGCACGGUGGAUGCCUUGGCACUAGAAGCCGAUGAAGGACGUUACUAACGACGAUAUGCUUUGGGGAGCUGUAAGUAAGCUUUGAUCCAGAGAUUUCCGAAUGGGGAAACCCAGCAUGAGUUAUGUCAUGUUAUCGAUAUGUGAAUACAUAGCAUAUCAGAAGGCACACCCGGAGAACUGAAACAUCUUAGUACCCGGAGGAAGAGAAAGAAAAUUCGAUUCCCUUAGUAGCGGCGAGCGAAACGGGAAGAGCCCAAACCAAAAAGCUUGCUUGUUGGGGUUGUAGGACACUCUAUACGGAGUUACAAAGGACGACAUUAGACGAAUCAUCUGGAAAGAUGAAUCAAAGAAGGUAAUAAUCCUGUAGUCGAAAAUGUUGUCUCUCUUGAGUGGAUCCUGAGUACGACGGAGCACGUGAAAUUCCGUCGGAAUCUGGGAGGACCAUCUCCUAAGGCUAAAUACUCUCUAGUGACCGAUAGUGAACCAGUACCGUGAGGGAAAGGUGAAAAGCACCCCGGAAGGGGAGUGAAAUAGAACCUGAAACCGUGUGCUUACAAGUAGUCAGAGCCCGUUAAUGGGUGAUGGCGUGCCUUUUGUAGAAUGAACCGGCGAGUUACGAUUUGAUGCAAGGUUAAGCAGUAAAUGUGGAGCCGUAGCGAAAGCGAGUCUGAAUAGGGCGUUUAGUAUUUGGUCGUAGACCCGAAACCAGGUGAUCUACCCUUGGUCAGGUUGAAGUUCAGGUAACACUGAAUGGAGGACCGAACCGACUUACGUUGAAAAGUGAGCGGAUGAACUGAGGGUAGCGGAGAAAUUCCAAUCGAACCUGGAGAUAGCUGGUUCUCUCCGAAAUAGCUUUAGGGCUAGCCUCAAGUGAUGAUUAUUGGAGGUAGAGCACUGUUUGGACGAGGGGCCCUCUCGGGUUACCGAAUUCAGACAAACUCCGAAUGCCAAUUAAUUUAACUUGGGAGUCAGAACAUGGGUGAUAAGGUCCGUGUUCGAAAGGGAAACAGCCCAGACCACCAGCUAAGGUCCCAAAUAUAUGUUAAGUGGAAAAGGAUGUGGCGUUGCCCAGACAACUAGGAUGUUGGCUUAGAAGCAGCCAUCAUUUAAAGAGUGCGUAAUAGCUCACUAGUCGAGUGACACUGCGCCGAAAAUGUACCGGGGCUAAACAUAUUACCGAAGCUGUGGAUUGUCCUUUGGACAAUGGUAGGAGAGCGUUCUAAGGGCGUUGAAGCAUGAUCGUAAGGACAUGUGGAGCGCUUAGAAGUGAGAAUGCCGGUGUGAGUAGCGAAAGACGGGUGAGAAUCCCGUCCACCGAUUGACUAAGGUUUCCAGAGGAAGGCUCGUCCGCUCUGGGUUAGUCGGGUCCUAAGCUGAGGCCGACAGGCGUAGGCGAUGGAUAACAGGUUGAUAUUCCUGUACCACCUAUAAUCGUUUUAAUCGAUGGGGGACGCAGUAGGAUAGGCGAAGCGUGCGAUUGGAUUGCACGUCUAAGCAGUAAGGCUGAGUAUUAGGCAAAUCCGGUACUCGUUAAGGCUGAGCUGUGAUGGGGAGAAGACAUUGAGUCUUCGAGUCGUUGAUUUCACACUGCCGAGAAAAGCCUCUAGAUAGAAAAUAGGUGCCCGUACCGCAAACCGACACAGGUAGUCAAGAUGAGAAUUCUAAGGUGAGCGAGCGAACUCUCGUUAAGGAACUCGGCAAAAUGACCCCGUAACUUCGGGAGAAGGGGUGCUCUUUAGGGUUAACGCCCAGAAGAGCCGCAGUGAAUAGGCCCAAGCGACUGUUUAUCAAAACACAGGUCUCUGCUAAACCGUAAGGUGAUGUAUAGGGGCUGACGCCUGCCCGGUGCUGGAAGGUUAAGAGGAGUGGUUAGCUUCUGCGAAGCUACGAAUCGAAGCCCCAGUAAACGGCGGCCGUAACUAUAACGGUCCUAAGGUAGCGAAAUUCCUUGUCGGGUAAGUUCCGACCCGCACGAAAGGCGUAACGAUUUGGGCACUGUCUCAACGAGAGACUCGGUGAAAUCAUAGUACCUGUGAAGAUGCAGGUUACCCGCGACAGGACGGAAAGACCCGUGGAGCUUUACUGUAGCCUGAUAUUGAAAUUCGGCACAGCUUGUACAGGAUAGGUAGGAGCCUUUGAAACGUGAGCGCUAGCUUACGUGGAGGCGCUGGUGGGAUACUACCCUAGCUGUGUUGGCUUUCUAACCCGCACCACUUAUCGUGGUGGGAGACAGUGUCAGGCGGGCAGUUUGACUGGGGCGGUCGCCUCCUAAAAGGUAACGGAGGCGCUCAAAGGUUCCCUCAGAAUGGUUGGAAAUCAUUCAUAGAGUGUAAAGGCAUAAGGGAGCUUGACUGCGAGACCUACAAGUCGAGCAGGGUCGAAAGACGGACUUAGUGAUCCGGUGGUUCCGCAUGGAAGGGCCAUCGCUCAACGGAUAAAAGCUACCCCGGGGAUAACAGGCUUAUCUCCCCCAAGAGUUCACAUCGACGGGGAGGUUUGGCACCUCGAUGUCGGCUCAUCGCAUCCUGGGCUGUAGUCGGUCCCAAGGGUUGGGCUGUUCGCCCAUUAAAGCGGUACGCGAGCUGGGUUCAGAACGUCGUGAGACAGUUCGGUCCCUAUCCGUCGUGGGCGUAGGAAAUUUGAGAGGAGCUGUCCUUAGUACGAGAGGACCGGGAUGGACAUACCUCUGGUGUACCAGUUGUCGUGCCAACGGCAUAGCUGGGUAGCUAUGUGUGGACGGGAUAAGUGCUGAAAGCAUCUAAGCAUGAAGCCCCCCUCAAGAUGAGAUUUCCCAACUUCGGUUAUAAGAUCCCUCAAAGAUGAUGAGGUUAAUAGGUUCGAGGUGGAAGCAUGGUGACAUGUGGAGCUGACGAAUACUAAUCGAUCGAAGACUUAAUCA
Molecule: ribosomal RNA, 2913 nt
Filed under: Staphylococcus aureus
Lineage: Bacteria; Bacillati; Bacillota; Bacilli; Caryophanales; Staphylococcaceae
Description: bacterial LSU rRNA
Rfam family: Bacterial large subunit ribosomal RNA
Source: RNAcentral